UACAGAGGUCUCAAGCGUUGUUCGGAUUCAUUGGGCGUAAAGGGUGCGUAGGUGGCGCUGUAAGUCGGGUGUGAAAUCCUGAGGCUUAACCUCGGAACUGCAUUCGAUACUGCGGUGCUUGAGGACUGGAGAGGAGACUGGAAUUCAUGGUGUAGCAGUGAAAUGCGUAGAGAUCAGGAGGAAGACCAGUGGCGAAGGCGGGUCUCUGGACAGUUCCUGACACUGAGGCACGAAGGCCAGGGGAGCAAACGGG
Molecule: ribosomal RNA, 253 nt
Filed under: uncultured bacterium
Lineage: Bacteria
Description: partial 16S ribosomal RNA
Rfam family: Bacterial small subunit ribosomal RNA
Source: RNAcentral